RNAcentral lists this ribosomal RNA (433 nucleotides) under uncultured bacterium. RNAcentral describes it as "partial 16S ribosomal RNA". It matches the Rfam family "Bacterial small subunit ribosomal RNA", at positions 29 to 507 of the family's 1533-position model. The record is from RNAcentral.
AACGAACGCUGGCGGCAUGCCUAACACAUGCAAGUCGAACGAGACCUUCGGGUCUAGUGGCGCACGGGUGCGUAACGCGUGGGAACCUGCCUUUAGGUUCGGAAUAACUCAGAGAAAUUUGAGCUAAUACCGGAUGAUGUCUUCGGACCAAAGAUUUAUCGCCUUUAGAUGCGCCCGCGUUGGAUUAGCUAGUUGGUGGGGUAAAGGCCUACCAAGGCGACGAUCCAUAGCUGGUCUGAGAGGAUGAUCAGCCACACUGGGACUGAGACACGGCCCAGACUCCUACGGGAGGCAGCAGUGGGGAAUAUUGGACAAUGGGCGAAAGCCUGAUCCAGCAAUGCCGCGUGAGUGAUGAAGGCCUUAGGGUUGUAAAGCUCUUUUACCCGAGAUGAUAAUGACAGUAUCGGGAGAAUAAGCUCCGGCUAACUCCGUG